GUGUGUUAGUGGUGCAUUAGAGAUGACUCAGAAAUAAACCCUGGUUGAUAGUCUUGUUCUGCUGAAAUUUAUUUGUAUCACUUUAUUGUUUUAUUUAAUCGAGAGAAUGUGUGUAUGAUAGGGAUGAUAUCACGAAAGUUGGCGCAAUAGUAGAUUUUUUUUCUCAUAGUGUAACAUAUAAAUUUUAUUCAUUAUAAGGUGUAUCUAACCAUUAGCAGGCUCAUUAGCAGGAGUAGGGACUCCACUGAAUCUAAUCUCGUACUGUAUAUCAAUCACUUUUUAGCAAGCACACUAAAAUUCAGUAAAUGAUAAUAUGCUAUAUUUAAUAAGAUUUCGCCACAUCAUAUUUAUGUUGAAGUUAAAGAGUAACUAGCAUUUGGUCAUAUGUAUGUGUAUUUACAUGUCUGUGAAACAUGAGAAAUUAAUAGAUUGAUGAU
Molecule: long non-coding RNA, 437 nt
Filed under: Mytilus galloprovincialis (Mediterranean mussel)
Lineage: Eukaryota; Metazoa; Mollusca; Bivalvia; Mytilida; Mytilidae
Source: RNAcentral